CCUACGGGAGGCAGCAGUGGGGAAUAUUGGACAAUGGGCGAAAGCCUGAUCCAGCCAUGCCGCGUGUGUGAAGAAGGCCUUCGGGUUGUAAAGCACUUUCAGUGGGGAAGAAAGCCUUGGGGCUAAUACCCUCGAGGAAGGACAUCACCCACAGAAGAAGCACCGGCUAACUCCGUGCCAGCAGCCGCGGUAAUACGGAGGGUGCGAGCGUUAAUCGGAAUUACUGGGCGUAAAGCGCGCGUAGGCGGUCUGAUAAGCCGGUUGUGAAAGCCCCGGGCUCAACCUGGGAACGGCAUCCGGAACUGUCAGGCUAGAGUACAGGAGAGGAAGGUAGAAUUCCCGGUGUAGCGGUGAAAUGCGUAGAGAUCGGGAGGAAUACCAGUGGCGAAGGCGGCCUUCUGGACUGACACUGACGCUGAGGUGCGAAAGCGUGGGUAGCAAACAGGAUUAGAUCCCCCAGUAGUC
Molecule: ribosomal RNA, 465 nt
Filed under: Vreelandella stevensii
Lineage: Bacteria; Pseudomonadati; Pseudomonadota; Gammaproteobacteria; Oceanospirillales; Halomonadaceae
Description: partial 16S ribosomal RNA
Rfam family: Bacterial small subunit ribosomal RNA
Source: RNAcentral